Molecule: ribosomal RNA, 323 nt
Filed under: uncultured bacterium
Lineage: Bacteria
Description: bacterial SSU rRNA
Rfam family: Bacterial small subunit ribosomal RNA
Source: RNAcentral
AGAGUUUGAUCCUGGCUCAGAGCGGACGCUGGCGGCAGGCUUAACACAUGCAAGUCGAACGGGUAUCUUCGGAUACUAGUGGCAGACGGGUGAGUAACACGUGGGAACGUACCUUUCGGUUCGGAAUAAUACAGGGAAACUUGUACUAAUACCGGAUACGCCCUUCGGGGGAAAGAUUUAUCGCCGAUAGAUCGGCCCGCGUCUGAUUAGCUAGUUGGUGAGGUAAUGGCCCACCAAGGCGACGAUCAGUAGCUGGUCUGAGAGGAUGAUCAGCCACACUGGGACUGAGACACGGCCCAGACUCCUACGGGAGGCAGCAGUGG